UGGGACUGCCCUCGGCUCCGUGGGGUAUAGGUGGCUUUUCGUGGACGUCACCGUUCGGCCAAACGCGGUAGCAGACCGCCACAUGGUGAUCAGCCUCGUGAACCUGUGCAGCGCAGCAAGGUAAAGUGCGUCCUGCAAGGGUACAGGAAUGCAGUUGUAGGGCCGCGUCCAAGUUGUCCUCACACAGCAACUUGGGCAGAUACGCCCGCGCGCGUUGUACGGAGGCUCGCUGAAUUGUGUUGCUGACUGCGCUGUGUUCGACCCGGUGGUCCCGGGCCCCGGAGCAAUCGGAGCAAGGGAAUGCCAUACGUGGGUGGGGCCUUCGUUGAGAGCGUCCUUCGUAGGCCUCCUUAGCGCGCAAAGCUAACUGCGACUUCUAUAGUUCAGCCUGCGAAUUCGGGAGACCACCAUUGAACGAGUUGUGACGUUGAAAACACACGCCGCGAGGUUUUGCAAAGGUCCGAGAAUGGGCGUAGCCUAGUCUGUACGAGAUGGAAAUAAGGGGAAAUUCAAAGUAUUCACCAUAAUUAAGAGAUCACCAAAAGUGUAGAUAUUAGGCCUCCGCGCUAUGUUGCACAUUCGCACGUACAGGUAGGUAACAAGAACUACAGGCACGGGCUCGCAAAAGGCUCGGCCUCCAAGUGUAUAUGGGCGUUAAGUGGAAGGAGGUGCUCUUGAUAAUAAUAUUUAAUUUCGCAUGAUCUUGCCCCUGCAGACGACCGCAGACCGCCUCGCGACUUCGACGGCAAUUUCAGCGAACCUUAGUCAUCGCUGUUACGGGCAUAAUCAGUUGAAACAUCCUUAUACUUACAACAAAGACCCACCAUGUUUGACUAUGACUUAAUCAGUGCUCAAAUCAUGCACCGUAUUCGGUCUCCAAACGAUGAGCCAUGUCACGACUAGUUACGGUCAUGUCGAUAUCCAUGUUUUCCUGCCUAUAUUUUUACAAUGCUGGACUUUGCCAAAGCACCCAGAUGAAACCUUAAUAGGGACCAGUCCAUCCUUGGAUGGAUGGAUAUUACAAGCAACCCGGAAGUUUCAAACCAACCCAACUGUUUAAACGAACCCGGAGGCUCAUGAACCGCUUUAAGUCGUGCCAUAUAAGAGAGAGGGAAUAAUAAGUACUGGUUCACUCCUCUCCAUCGCCCUUAUCAAUAAGAGCUAAAAAAACAAGUACGCUAUAAUGCCAAGUCGGUACCAGGAUGUAACGUGCUCGUGUCGUAUAUAGCGAAACAUGUCAUGAAUGGCCUUCGCGAGCCCACGCUGAUCAUCCUAUCCUUAUUGCUUGUGCCUUCGUCAUCGAUCGCACGAAGAUCUUUACGAACAUCGUUCGUUCCCGAGUCGGUCUGCGGGGGCAAGCUUAGUUUUUGGUUUUACAGGUAAAAUCUAAUAAUUUGUUUCUUUGCGCUGAUUACCACUAACUGGUAAAAUCCUCCCGCCAUGGGCCUUGCCACAAUUUGUAUGUGAAUUUUUUAACGAACACCAAAUGGACUCUAGUGUGUGUGUGUGUCUCUGUGUGUGUAUGCGUGUGUGUGUAUGUGUGUGUGUGUGUGUGUGUGUGUGUGUGUGUGUGUGUGAGCUGUUGGGUUUUAUUUCCGCGUGUUUCGCUUUUUUGUCCGUCAUUUUUGUCCGUCAAUUUUCCAGUCCGAAUGGAGGAAUAGGAUUUUAGCCGCGGGAAUAAAAGUAUUCCGAAUCUGUAAGGCGCUAGGGGGGGCUCCGGCCCCCCCAGAACCCCCCCGAUGAGUUACAGUUUGGUUCGUGCAAACGCCGGGUUUGGGGAAUGCUGCAACACACGCACACCACAGUCUCUCGAAAGAGGUGUCUCGUACACGCCAGGAAGCGGCGCGCACUUAGACGCGCGUUGACAGGAGCCUCGAUUGCACGGGCGACUGUUGGAGAGCCCAAGCAAACACAGACCAGUUAACCCCUACUCAAGCACUGAUCGAAUAGAGUCUUAGCUGCAGUGCCGGGGUCGCUGCUGCCAUCAACCUCGACGCCCGUGUUUCCUGGCCCAUCGCCAUUGUCUCCAUAUGGCGAACGUUGACGUUUGGCCCGCUCGCUGUUGACAACCGGCGUGGCGUCAUUGUCAUGCAGCCAGCCGACGACAAUGACGCUACUCCGGUUGACAUGGACGCCAUUUCGACGAAACUAUAUUUCGACCGUAGUCCAUUUCGACCGGAGAGGAACGCAGUGGGGAUUAUUCGGGGGAUCUCACGGGCAGGAAGGAGAAGGGUAUGAUGUGCCGUACAAGCUGCAGCCACAGCUGCAGCAGAAGGCACGGAAGGGCGGUGAGGCGGCGCCGGCGCUGUCGGGGUAUACUGGUUGUGCGGCGGGUCUGUUUGCGUUGUCAAUUAGUUGUUUAGCUGCUGUCCCUGCUGUAAACGUGUAGGCUUUUAUUUCGGGUUAUGAAUACGUCUGGCGUUUAGUGACCCCGUCGAAGUUGUGUGCACACUGGUAAUGCAGCAGCAGCAGCAGCAGCAGCAGCAGGUGCGAGUGCGAGUGGGAUCGGAACACUAUGUGGCAGCAGCCUGCUGCAUGAGGUGGUGCUGUGCGGUGCGCAGGAGUGCGUGGCCCGUAAGGCGUGUGGGUGGACAGGUAGGCGGCAGAGGCGGCGUGUGGGUGAGACAUGACGGCAGCAGCAGCAGCAGCAGCAGCAACAAAGAUGCAACGUUACGGCUUCUUCUUUGGUUUACGGCAGAUAGGUCACGGCUGCUGUUCGAGGGUCCUACCGCAAUAUUUUAAGCUCUUCCCACUUGCAUGUACAUGUGUCUGUGUACAUUUCACGCACCUCGCUGCCUGACCUACCUCACCCUGCCCUGCCGUACCCUGCCGUACCCUGCCGUACCCUGCCGUACCCUGCCCUACCCUGCACAUGUGCCUCACAAAACAUACUCCAAAACCACUCCGACCAUAAAGAAUUGUACACCAAAUGUUGUCUGAAACAGUGCCUCUCUCCCUCUCCCCCUCUCCCUCCCUCCCUCUCUCCCUCUCUCUCACCAUCCAGCCCCCUGCUUGCAUACCGGCCCCCCUUUCAUCAUCCACCAAGCGAACAACCCUCAUGGAGCGCAAUCCCGGCAAGUCCUGGUACUCCAGCUAUGUGGUUCAAUCCACAUUGCCCAUUGGGGGUCCCCAUAGCCAUUCCACGGGGCCAAGAACCCCAAGAACAGCCCGAGCACGGCACUGCCAUGCAAACGGGAUUCAGGUAGGUAAGCUGCGCAACCUGCAAACCGCGGGUUUAUGACCAGUUGAGACCUGUGCAGGCCGCUGUUCCUUCCCUUCGGUCCCGCGCCGCGGUCACCUUAUCUCUGGGUGUCUCCACCUACAUGGCUUGCACCUCCUAGUGUUCGUGCGUUAGGAGCCCGCUGCUGGACACACGUCUCCAGUGACCCGCCAUGCAUGGCCACUAGGCCUCCUCGCCACCCAUGAGGUUGUCCAGCGCGUGGUUCACAUGGCGCCUGUGAGAGACACACAAACAUACAUACACAUGCCGCCGUAGGUGGGUCGGUGGGUUUAUCAGAGGGCGUCCGACUGAGGCCCAGGCCCCGACAGACAGAAGGUUACCCGCAGCCGCGUCCCGCUAUGUGGCCCUCACCUCCUGUUGUAGUAGUACAAACCCGCAGCCACCGCCACGAGCGCCAAAGUCGGCACCACGGCAGCCGCCACAAUGGGGCCGUGGGAGGUGCCACUCGACCCGCCUGCGAUGGGGAGUGUGGAGAGGGGCCCGGGCACACGAGGGCACACGAGGUUGUGAGGCACUGUCGAUUGGAGGUGCCAGGCGGGCAGCCCUGGGUUGCAGAAACAGGAGUCUUACGCGCCCUAGCUUUGCUCUGGCUUGAGCCCCCCUCCUCCGAUGGCUGCCGCUGCACAGAGCUCGUUCGCUCGCAAAGAUUGGGGUCUCCCUAGAGCCCGCAAACAGAAUGAAACACGUUGCUGAUUGCACAUAAGGCAAGCAGCAGCGGUGCAUUCCGGCGGCUCGAUUGGUCCCCGUUGCGUCCUCGUCUGAAGCCCUCCAGGGAGCGCACCUUGCAACUGGCUGUUUGGUGGGCCUAAUAGAAGGGGUGGUGGCGGGGUCGUACUCCACUAAUCCCUGCUCGUACCGCGGCAUGGGACCUAGCGGGGCUGGAGGCGGCGGGGUCCUACGUGGCGGAGGUUNNNNNNNNNNNNNNNNNNNNNNNNNNNNNNNNNNNNNNNNNNNNNNNNNNNNNNNNNNNNNNNNNNNNNNNNNNNNNNNNNNNNNNNNNNNNNNNNNNNNNNNNNNNNNNNNNNNNNNNNNNNNNNNNNNNNNNNNNNNNNNNNNNNNNNNNNNNNNNNNNNNNNNNNNNNNNNNNNNNNNNNNNNNNNNNNNNNNNNNNNNNNNNNNNNNNNNNNNNNNNNNNNNNNNNNNNNNNNNNNNNNNNNNNNNNNNNCGGUGGAGGUGUCGGCGGUGGUGGAGGGGGGAGUGGUGGCGGGGUUGGAGGUGGUGGUGGUGGUGGCGGGGGUGAAGGUGGCGGGGUUUGAGGUGGCGUAGGUGGUGGUGGGGGUGGUGGCGAGUUUGGAGGUGGCCGAGAUGGUAGCGGGGGAAGUGGUGACGGGGAUGGAGCUAGCGGAGGUUGUGGCGGGGGAGGUGGUGACGGGGAUGGAGGUGGCGGAGGUGGUUGCGAGGGAGGUGGUGACGGGGAUGGAGGUGGCGGAGGUGGUUGCGGGGGAGGUGGUGACGGGGAUGGAGGUGGCGGAGGUGGUUGCGGGGGAGGUGGUGAUGGGGAUGGAGGUGGCGGAGGUGGUUGCGGGGGAGGUGGUGACGGGGAUGGAGGUGGCGGAGGUGGUGGAAGGGACAUUGGUGACGGAGGGAGGAGUGGUUCUUCAGGCUCGUCCUCACAGGGGGGCUCGGGAAUCUCCGGACAAUCCGGAGGAAGAAAGGGCGGGCUUGCAUCUUGAGACAUGGGGGGCGGCGGCAAUGUGGCCUGCAAGGGGGGCGGCGGCAAUGUGGCCUGCAAGGGGGGCGGCGGCAAUGCAGACAGCCCUGAAGCUCAACAAGAUCGGGGGGCCGAUGUGGAGGGGUGCACGGGGUGAUGCCGCCUGCAACUGGGCCAACAGCACCACGGGUGCCGAGGUUAAGGACGGUGGAUGGGCAUGGAUAGGCCUGGACCUUCCGCGGCAAGGACGCGCUCAGGGACUUACCGGCAACGGCGGCGGCGGCGGCAAGGUCCAGGACGAGUAGUAGGACGGAUAGUAGGACGCCAGCCUACGCAGGGGUCUGUGCACCGUGUCAGGUGCCAUUGACUGAAUCAGGUUACGUGGUCCGCCAGUGGACACCUCCGGGGCAUGCAAGGGAACUCCGUGCAAUAACCCCAACAGCUCCUCCCUGGCCUCUCCCGCCGCCACAGACUGCGUGCUCGCACCCGACACUGCCGUACUUAGUGAGGCUGGCCCCGCCCCAGCAGCAGCAGCCGCGGAGACCCAAGCCGCAAGCAGCAUCGUGAACAAGUACAAGGGUCCCUGGACCCAAGAGCCCGCGGUCCGGGACCUGGACGGGGCCCGGGCUCGCGGGUGCUGGCAGUGCGACGACCGCUGUCGAUCACUGGCGACGUCCUGUGAUGUCAUCGGCUGCUGGCGUUGCUGUAGCAGAGCAAGGCUGGGGACCCGCUGCUGCUCCGAGGCUGUAGCAGCGACAGGACUAUGACCGGGACAAGGAUGGUAGGGUUGCGUUCGCGGGAGGCCACCACAUUUUGUUUCGGUGCUUUCAUCCGCGGGUUUGCAGCUUAAUGCUCUUGCCCGGCUGCUGCAGCUGGGGGUACUGCAAUUGCUGGCUGUGGGACUGCCCUCGGCGCCGUGGGGUAUAGGUGGCUUUUCGUGGACGUCACCGUUCGGCCAAACGCGGCAGCAGACCGCCACAUGGCGAUCAGCCUCGUGAACCUGUACGGCGCAGCUAGGUAACUGCAGUUGUAGAGCCGCGUCCAAGUUGUCCUCACACAGCAACUUGGGCAGAUACGCCCGCGCACGUUGUACGGAGGCUCGCUGAUUUGUGUUGCUGACUGCGCUGUGUUCGACCCGGUGGCCCUGGGCCCCGGAGUAAUUAGAGCAAGGGAGUGCCAUACGUGGGUGGGGCCUUCGUUGAGAGCGUCCUUCGUAGGCCUCCUUUGCGCGCAAAGCUAACUGCGACUUCUAUAGUUCGGCCUGCGAAUUCGGGAGACCACCAUUGAACGAGUUGUGACGCUAAAAACACA
RNAcentral lists this long non-coding RNA (6203 nucleotides) under Volvox carteri. Its description in RNAcentral is "long non-coding RNA (VCAR_LNC001071)". The record is from RNAcentral. Lineage: Eukaryota; Viridiplantae; Chlorophyta; Chlorophyceae; Chlamydomonadales; Volvocaceae.